Molecule: long non-coding RNA, 554 nt
Organism: Bactrocera latifrons
Lineage: Eukaryota; Metazoa; Arthropoda; Insecta; Diptera; Tephritidae
Exons: 2
Source: RefSeq, a predicted model, not a curated record
AUAGUUGCACUCGAGCAAGCGUUCAUAAAUGACCGACCGACCGCCUAUAGUGCGUCGCGUUGUGAGUGUGUGAACGCAAAAUAUACAUCACAAGAAACACAAAAGAGGGUAAAAAAGAGCAGCGCAUACAAGGAAAAUCGAUUAUGGCAAGAAAACUGCAGCAACCUGUCGACAAUUUAACAAAUGCAACGCUAUAUGGACAAUAUUUAAAGCUAAUACAACGUUAUUAACAAUGAGAAUGCCCACAACUAGUUAAAAAAAAGAAUGUAUGAAGGUAUUCUGUUAUCGCCGAACCAACAAAAACCAAGAUGGCAGCGAAUAUGGAGUAUACGGCGAAUUGCGUAGAAGAAAGAAUGGCGGAAAUUGUGAGAUACACACGGCAUGGCAUACAUACAAACAAACAUAUGUAUAUGCGGAGCGAACUAUUUAUAAAAAAAAAAGUAAUGUCAAGCUAUUUUGUUACAAUAACAAGAAACGACGUAUAGCAAAUUUAACAGUGCAACAGUAGUUGAAAUGUUGUCAUUAGCAUUGAAUAACACACAAGCCAGCAUACA